AUUGAACGCUGGCGGAAUGCUUUACACAUGCAAGUCGAGCGGCAGCGCGGGGGCAACCCUGGCGGCGAGCGGCGAACGGGUGAGUAACACAUCGGAACGUACCCAGUUGUGGGGGAUAGCCCGGCGAAAGCCGGAUUAAUACCGCAUACGACCUGAGGGUGAAAGGGGGGAUCGCAAGACCUCUCGCAGUUGGAGCGGCCGAUGGCGGAUUAGCUAGUUGGUGGGGUAAAGGCCUACCAAGGCGACGAUCCGUAGCUGGUCUGAGAGGACGACCAGCCACACUGGAACUGAGACACGGUCCAGACUCCUACGGGAGGCAG
Molecule: ribosomal RNA, 320 nt
Filed under: uncultured Pseudomonadota bacterium
Lineage: Bacteria; Pseudomonadati; Pseudomonadota
Description: bacterial SSU rRNA
Rfam family: Bacterial small subunit ribosomal RNA
Source: RNAcentral